AGCGAACGCUGGCGGCAGGCUUAACACAUGCAAGUCGAACGCAUCCUUCGGGAUGAGUGGCAGACGGGUGAGUAACACGUGGGAACGUGCCCUUCGGUUCGGAAUAACUCUGGGAAACUAGAGCUAAUACCGGAUACGCCCUUUUGGGGAAAGGUUUACUGCCGAAGGAUCGGCCCGCGUCUGAUUAGCUAGUUGGUGGGGUAAUGGCCUACCAAGGCGACGAUCAGUAGCUGGUCUGAGAGGAUGAUCAGCCACACUGGGACUGAGACACGGCCCAGACUCCUACGGGAGGCAGCAGUGGGGAAUAUUGGACAAUGGGCGCAAGCCUGAUCCAGCCAUGCCGCGUGAGUGAUGAAGGCCUUAGGGUUGUAAAGCUCUUUUGUCCGGGACGAUAAUGACGGUACCGGAAGAAUAAGCCCCGGCUAACUUCGUGCCAGCCGCCGCAGUAACAC
Molecule: ribosomal RNA, 452 nt
Filed under: uncultured bacterium
Lineage: Bacteria
Description: bacterial SSU rRNA
Rfam family: Bacterial small subunit ribosomal RNA
Source: RNAcentral